UACGUAGGGGGCGAGCGUUGUCCGGAAUCAUUGGGCGUAAAGGGCGCGUAGGCGGGCUUAUAAGUCUGAUGUGAAAGUGCGGUGCUUAACACCGUAAAGCAUUGGAAACUGUAGGUCUUGAGGACAGGAGAGGAAAGUGGAAUUCCUAGUGUAGCGGUGAAAUGCGUAGAUAUUAGGAGGAACACCAGUGGCGAAGGCGACUUUCUGGACUGUAACUGACGCUGAGGCGCGAAAGCGUGGGGAGCGAACAGGAUUAGAUACCCCCGUAGUCC
RNAcentral lists this ribosomal RNA (272 nucleotides) under uncultured bacterium. RNAcentral describes it as "partial 16S ribosomal RNA". It matches the Rfam family "Bacterial small subunit ribosomal RNA", at positions 524 to 796 of the family's 1533-position model. The record is from RNAcentral.